RNAcentral lists this ribosomal RNA (437 nucleotides) under uncultured Candidatus Endomicrobium sp. Its description in RNAcentral is "partial 16S ribosomal RNA". It matches the Rfam family "Bacterial small subunit ribosomal RNA", at positions 341 to 792 of the family's 1533-position model. Lineage: Bacteria; Pseudomonadati; Elusimicrobiota; Endomicrobiia; Endomicrobiales; Endomicrobiaceae. The record is from RNAcentral.
ACGGGAGGCAGCAGUGGGGAAUUUUGGACAAUGGGGGCAACCCUGAUCCAGCGACGCCGCGUGGAGGAUGAAGGUUUUAGGAUUGUAAACUCCUUUUGGAUGGGAAGAACAAAAUGACGGUACCAUCAGAAAGAGCCACGGCUAACUUCGUGCCAGCAGCCGCGGUAAUACGAAGGUGGCGAGCGUUACUCGGAAUUACUAGGCGUAAAGCGUAUGUAGGUGGUUAUAUAAGUCUGUGGUGAAAUUUCCUGGCUCAACUGGGAAGGGAACACAGAUACUGUAUAGCUUGAGUAUGUGAGGGGGAAACGGAAUUCCUGGUGUAGCGGUGAAAUGCGUAGAUAUCAGGAGGAACACCGAUGGCGAAAGCAGUUUCCUGGCACAAAACUGACACUGGGGUACGAAAGCUAGGGUAGCAAACAGGAUUAGAUACCCUGGUA